RNAcentral lists this ribosomal RNA (460 nucleotides) under uncultured bacterium. RNAcentral's name for it is "partial 16S ribosomal RNA". It matches the Rfam family "Bacterial small subunit ribosomal RNA", at positions 338 to 795 of the family's 1533-position model. The record is from RNAcentral.
CCUACGGGCGGCAGCAGUGAGGAAUAUUGGUCAAUGGACGAGAGUCUGAACCAGCCAAGUCGCGUGAAGGAUGACUGCCCUAUGGGUUGCAAACUUCUUUUAUAUGGGAAUAAAACGUUCCACGCGUGGGAUCUUGUAUGUACCAUAUGAAUAAGGAUCGGCUAACUCCGUGCCAGCAGCCGCGGUAAUACGGAGGAUCCGAGCGUUAUCCGGAUUUAUUGGGUUUAAAGGGAGCGUAGGCGGAUUGUUAAGUCAGUUGUGAAAGUCUGGGGCUCAACCGUAAAAUUGCAGUUGAAACUGGCAGUCUUGAGUACAGUAGAGGUGUGCGGAAUGCGUGGUGUAGCGGUGAAAUGCUUAGAUAUCACGAAGAACUCCGAUUGCGAAGGCAGUUCACUGGACUGCAACUGACACUGAGGCUCGAAAGUGUGGGUAUCAAACAGGAUUAGAUACCCCGGUAGUC